This 253-nucleotide ribosomal RNA is filed under the name uncultured bacterium. RNAcentral describes it as "partial 16S ribosomal RNA". It matches the Rfam family "Bacterial small subunit ribosomal RNA", at positions 524 to 776 of the family's 1533-position model. The record is from RNAcentral.
UACGUAGGGUGCAAGCGUUGUCCGGAUUUAUUGGGCGUAAAGAGCUCGUAGGCGGUCUGUCGCGUCGGAUGUGAAAACCCAGGGCUCAACCCUGGGCCUGCAUUCGAUACGGGCAGACUAGAGUGUGGCAGGGGAGACUGGAAUUCCUGGUGUAGCGGUGAAAUGCGCAGAUAUCGGGAGGAACACCGGUGGCGAAGGCGGUUCUCUGGGCCUGUACUGACGCUGAGGAGCGAAAGCGUGGGGAGCGAACAGG